This 217-nucleotide ribosomal RNA is filed under the name uncultured bacterium. RNAcentral describes it as "partial 16S ribosomal RNA". It matches the Rfam family "Bacterial small subunit ribosomal RNA", at positions 524 to 739 of the family's 1533-position model. The record is from RNAcentral.
UACGUAGGGUGCAAGCGUUGUCCGGAAUUAUUGGGCGUAAAGAGCUCGUAGGCGGUCUGUCGCGUCUGCUGUGAAAACUCAGGGCUUAACCCUGAGCUUGCAGUGGGUACGGGCAGACUAGAGUGCGGUAGGGGAGACUGGAAUUCCUGGUGUAGCGGUGAAAUGCGCAGAUAUCAGGAGGAACACCGGUGGGCGAAGGCGGGUCUCUGGGCCGUAA